AAUAAAUAAAAUUAAAACAAAACAAAAUUAAAAUAAUAGGGUGUUACUGUCACUUACACCGUCUUCCCCUAAAAAUAAGUUUAGUCCUCUAAAUUUACUUACCUCAACUCUCAAAAAGUUGAGGGUACUUCAAUUUCAUCUACUCCAGCUUCUAAGGCUUCGUUUGGGAUUGCGGGGAGAUUGCAUUACGUGCGAUGAGAAAGUAAGUUGGAAAAAUACCUAUUUGUUUUCGUACGUAAUAUUGCGUUCCACAUAUCACGAUGAGUCGAUUAUGAUAUAUUUUUUGCGGUUCCACCAGAGAACGCAGAAGCAUAUCCCUAUAUGCUUUUUCCUCAACUCCAUUUUAUCUAAUAGCGUUAGAUAGGCCUCAAUACCAAACUAAGCCUAAGUAGUCUCACGUUCAGAAUGAUUACUACAUUGCACCUUCACAUAUAGAAUAGUUUGCCUUAUCAGCACUUGAUCUUUUCUGUCUACAAUACGUAUAGGCUGUUCAACAUAAGAUAAGUAUUCUCUAAGGAUAUGUUUGUUUGGGUGGAAGUGGGACGAAAGUAGAGAAGAGAGAAGUCGUUUUCAUUAUAAAUGAUUACUUCCGUUGUUUGGUACGCCAUAAAAAAGUUACGGUCGAAACUCGAGUUAACCUGAAACGACGUAAUUAAUUUUGGCCCAUUAUGGGUCGAAGUCAAUUACGGUGAAGAGAGGCGAAAAACAUAAUAAAAUAAUAUACUAGGUAAAAAUAAUUAUAUUUAAAUAUAUUUAAUUACGGUACUAAUUACUCUUUUAUUCAAUUGGCAUAUUUAAAAUAUGAUAAAAAUUGAUUAGUUAAGUUUUUUUUUUUUUGUUUAUUUUGUACAAUUAAAAUAUGAUAAAAAUUGAUUAAUUAAGUAUUAAUAUUUUUUACUUUAUAAUUUUAUUGUUGUAUUACUAUAAUUUAUGUAUAAAAAAUGAUUUAGUUGUUUUAAAUUAAAUUUUAAUUAUAUAAAAUAUAAUUUUUUUUAUUUAUUAAAUUAUUUAUUAUUUAUAUAUAAAUUAUAAUUUUACAUCAUACACUUUCUACCAAACAAACAGCAGAAUUAAUAAAAUUUCACUUCAAUAACUACGAAACAAACAGCAGGAAAGAAGUGGUUUUUACCUAACUCCACUUCAAACCCAAAGUCCAUUUUAACCCAAAGUCCAAUUUCAGUGAAACAAACAUGCCCUAAGCUGCAAAAGUGCUAACUCCAUUACAUAGCUUAGGUCAUGAACAUAUUUACUUAACAUGGACACAUGGAACACAAUAUGCACGCCGACCAACGAAGGCGGUAAGGCAAGCAUAUAGGCCACAUCUUCUACCUUCUCAAGAAUUUCAAAAGGACCGAUAUAAUGAGCGCUGAGCUUUCCACGAACUACAAAGCGCAUACUACCCCUAGAAGGUGACACUUUUUGUUGGUGUAUAUAUUUAAGAAAUAGAGGUUAGUUACAAAAAAAUUUAAAAAAAUGUCAACGAGUCGAUCAAGCCGAGGCACGGAUAUCUCGCUCUCUUUAAAGAGAUUCAAGCUCUCUGCGGUUGGCAAAGCCUUUAAACAAAUGCAACAGAGCACUGACUUGUCCCCUCCAGGAUACAACGGCUCGACCCUAGUCGUGUAGCUUCACCAACUCUGCACAAGUAGAUGAGCCCAAAGCUCCACCAAAAGAAACACCUUUCUUUGACCUUCUCUCUCUCAAGUAUAAUUGAAAUAACUUUGUUGUUUUUUGAGUUGUGUUUAAGUGAAU
Molecule: long non-coding RNA, 1749 nt
Filed under: Ananas comosus (pineapple)
Lineage: Eukaryota; Viridiplantae; Streptophyta; Magnoliopsida; Poales; Bromeliaceae
Description: long non-coding RNA (ACOM_LNC030769)
Source: RNAcentral